UGCUGGGAUUACAUUACCCCUAUGCAUUGGGGUUGCUGUGCAGACAUCCCAAGAAACAAGGGCCAGAGGGAAGAAGGUUGAAAUUGUAAAAGUGGACCUGGUGGAUGGUUGUUAAGGCAUUCCUUGACAAGUGAGCCACUGUGCCUGGCCUUUUUUUUCUUUUUUGAGACAGGGUCUUGCUCUGUCACAAAGUGAUGGAGUGUGAUAGUGCGAUCAUGGCUCACUGCAACCUAGACCUCCCAGGCUCCAGUGAUCCUCCCACCUCAGUCUCUCAAGUAGCUGGGACCACAGGCAGGUGCCACCAUGCUUGGCUAUUUUCUUUUUUCUUUUCCUAGACUCCAAAGCUAGUGCCAGAUCAGCUGAUUUUUUUUUUUAAUUUUAAUUUUUUUUUUUUUAGGAAUGAGGUCUCACUAUGUUGCCCAGGCUGAUCUCGAACUCCUGACCCCAAGCAAUCCUCCAACUCUGGCCUCCCAGAGUGUUGGGAUUAUAGAUAUGAGCCACUGCACAGCCCCUAAUUUAUCUAAGCUAUAGUUUCUUCAACUGUACUUGAGGCUAAUAAUAUUGCCUAAGUAGUAUUGUUAAGAAGUUAAAUGCAAUAAUGCUUAAAAAGUACUUACUAUGUGCCUAUCACAUAGAAAAUACCUCAUAAAUCUACUGGGCACGGUGGCUCACACCUGUAAUCCUAGCACUUUGGGAGGCUGAGGCAGGCGGAUCACCUGAGGUCAGGAGUUUGAGACCAGCCUGGCCAAGAUGGAGAAACCCCGUCUCUACGAAACAUAUGAAAAUUACUGGGAUUACAGGUGUGCGCCACCACGUCUGGCUAAUUUUCAUAUUUUUAGUAGAGACGGGGUUUCACCAUGUUGGUCAGGCUGGUCUUACACUCCUGACCUCAUUAUCCACCUGCCUCGGCCUCCCAAAGUGCUGGGAUUACAGGCAUGAGUCACCGUGCCUGGCCCAAGUAUCAUUUUUAAGAGAAAAAUGGGAAACAAACUCAAUGUCCAAUAGUAGGGUGAACUAAAUUAUGAUAUAUCCGCUUGAUAGCAUUGUUAAAAAUGAUGAUAAAUGUUCACAACAUAUUGUUAAAUGAAAAAAGUCAGUUUUAGGCCAGGCCUGGUGGCUCAUGCCUGUAAUCCCAGUACUUUGGGAGGCCGAGCCAGGCGGAUCACCAGAGGUCAGGAGUUCAGUACCAGCCUGUCCCACAUGUCUCUAGUAAAAAUACAAAAAAAAAAAAAAAAAAAAUUAACUGGGCAUGGUGGCGGGCACCUGUAAUCCCAGCUACUCUAGAGGCUGAGGCAGCAGAAUCUCUUGAAUCCAGGAGGCAGAGGUUGCAGUGAGUGGAGAUUGGGCCACCCGUACUCAUCCUGGGCUACGGAGUAAGACUCCUCUCAAAAAACAAAAAAGGUCAGUCCUAAAAUAAUAUGGCCUAAAUUUUCAAAAAGCAUUAGGUUGAGACAUAUGAAAUUGUUCAUAUUUGAUCAUUUUUAACCUAUAAAAUCAGCAAUUUCAUAUGACUUAAUAUAUGUACACUGAAAAGUACACAAAUAAGAAGCUAGGUGCAGUGGCCUAUGCUUAUAAUCCCAGCUACUUGGGAGAAUGAGGUGGGAGGAUUGCUUGAGCCCAUGAGUUCAAAGCUACAGUGAGUUAUAAUUGCACAGCUGCACUCCAGCCUGGGCAACAGAGUGAGACCCUAUCUCUUGAAAAAGUAAAUAAAAAA
Long non-coding RNA from Macaca fascicularis (crab-eating macaque), 1714 nucleotides. The record is from Ensembl. NCBI's taxonomy places the organism in Eukaryota, Metazoa, Chordata, Mammalia, Primates, Cercopithecidae.